UACGUAGGGUGCGAGCGUUGUCCGGAAUUAUUGGGCGUAAAGGGCUCGUAGGCGGUUUGUCACGUCAGGAGUGAAAACUCGGGGCUCAACCCCGAGCCUGCUUCUGAUACGGGCAGACUAGAGGUAUGCAGGGGAGAACGGAAUUCCUGGUGUAGCGGUGAAAUGCGCAGAUAUCAGGAGGAACACCGGUGGCGAAGGCGGCCCCCUGGUUGGAUACUGACGCUGAGACGCGAAAGCGUGGGGAGCAAACAGG
Molecule: ribosomal RNA, 253 nt
Filed under: uncultured bacterium
Lineage: Bacteria
Description: partial 16S ribosomal RNA
Rfam family: Bacterial small subunit ribosomal RNA
Source: RNAcentral